This 399-nucleotide unclassified non-coding RNA is filed under the name soil metagenome. RNAcentral's name for it is "partial contains 5.8S ribosomal RNA, internal transcribed spacer 2, and large subunit ribosomal RNA". The stretch from base 1 to 120 matches the Rfam family "5.8S ribosomal RNA", at positions 35 to 154 of the family's 154-position model. The record is from RNAcentral.
GAUGAAGAACGCAGCGAAAUGCGAUACUUGGUGUGAAUUGCAGAAUCCCGUGAACCAUCGAGUCUUUGAACGCAAGUUGCGCCCGAAGCCUCGGCUAAGGGCACGUCUGCCUGGGCGCCACGCAUCGCGUCUCCCCCAAACCGCCAAGGCGGAGGGGAAGGAAGAUGGCUUCCCGUGCCUCACCCGGGCGCGGUUGGCCUAAAUUUGGAGCCCGCGGCACUUAGCUCUCGCGGCGAUAGGUGGUGAACAAGGCCUUGGCCGUGCAAACAACCCGCUGCGAAGCUCUAUGUCACGUGCGCUCGUCGGACCCUUUGAAGUUGCCUUUGGUGACUUAAAACCUUUGCGACCCCAGGUCAGGCGGGGCUACCCGCUGAAUUUAAGCAUAUCAAAAGCGGAGGA